GUGGUUGAAAAAGAUGAAAGUGCUGCAAAAGAAUCUGUUUGGACUGCUCGUGAUGCUGAUAACAACAGGUGUUUGAAGUAUACGUUUAGCAGGAGGCGGAAGAAGGUUUCAUCGUCUGAAUCUUAUAAACCAAGUUUCAACCUUGAAAACGAGAAGCUGAUUGAUGAUUCAUCUGAUAGCCAAAACAUAAUUGAUGUUGCUUGCCAGUUGAUUUCCUUGUCUGGGGAACGUAGUCGGUGAAAGCGCUCAGUUCUUCGAAACUUCAUCUCCAAGCAAUAGUGAGCAACUUGUAUAUGCGAAAAGGUAUAAUCUAUGGAAGUCCUUGAGGUUAUUUUUGUUUUGGGGGUGAAAGUAAAUACUAAGUUAAUCAAGUUUAAUCCUCCAUCCUUGUAAAUUGGUAAACCAUGAUGCCAAUUGCUUUGCUCAGUCAAACUUAGUUGCCAGCCCACCAGUAGUUAAUUUAAACUUCAAGUUUGGACUUGUAUUGUUACGCGUUAAAAUAUAUGAGAUCUCGAGUUAUAUUUAU
RNAcentral lists this long non-coding RNA (526 nucleotides) under Helianthus annuus (common sunflower). RNAcentral's name for it is "sRNA HanXRQr2_Chr07g0308001". Lineage: Eukaryota; Viridiplantae; Streptophyta; Magnoliopsida; Asterales; Asteraceae. The record is from RNAcentral.